Molecule: ribosomal RNA, 253 nt
Filed under: uncultured bacterium
Lineage: Bacteria
Description: partial 16S ribosomal RNA
Rfam family: Bacterial small subunit ribosomal RNA
Source: RNAcentral
UACGGGGGGGGCAAGCGUUGUUUGGAAUUACUGGGCGUAAAGGGCUCGUAGGUGGCCAACUAAGUCAGACGUGAAAUCCCUCGGCUUAACCGGGGAACUGCGUCUGAUACUGGAUGGCUUGAGUUCGGGAGAGGUGAGUGGAACUGCGAGUGUAGAGGUGAAAUUCGUAGAUAUUCGCAAGAACACCAGUGGCGAAGGCGGCUCACUGGCCCGAUACUGACGCUGGUGCACGAAAGCGUGGGGAGCAAACAGG